This 508-nucleotide ribosomal RNA is filed under the name Halomonas sp. RNAcentral describes it as "bacterial SSU rRNA". It matches the Rfam family "Bacterial small subunit ribosomal RNA", at positions 36 to 542 of the family's 1533-position model. Lineage: Bacteria; Pseudomonadati; Pseudomonadota; Gammaproteobacteria; Oceanospirillales; Halomonadaceae. The record is from RNAcentral.
UUUGCGGGCGCAGCUACCAUGCAGUCGAGCGGUAACAGAUCCAGCUUGCUGGAUGCUGACGAGCGGCGGACGGGUGAGUAAUGCAUAGGAAUCUGCCCGAUAGUGGGGGAUAACCUGGGGAAACCCAGGCUAAUACCGCAUACGUCCUACGGGAGAAAGGGGGCUCCGGCUCCCGCUAUGGGAUGAGCCUAUGUCGGAUUAGCUAGUUGGUGAGGUAACGGCUCACCAAGGCCACGAUCCGUAGCUGGUCUGAGAGGAUGAUCAGCCACAUCGGGACUGAGACACGGCCCGAACUCCUACGGGAGGCAGCAGUGGGGAAUAUUGGACAAUGGGGGAAACCCUGAUCCAGCCAUGCCGCGUGUGUGAAGAAGGCCCUCGGGUUGUAAAGCACUUUCAGCGAGGAAGAACGCCUAGCGGUUAAUACCCGCUAGGAAAGACAUCACUCGCAGAAGAAGCACCGGCUAACUCCGUGCCAGCAGCCGCGGUAAUACGGAGGGUGCAAGCGUUU